RNAcentral lists this small RNA (820 nucleotides) under Pongo abelii (Sumatran orangutan). RNAcentral describes it as "processed transcript". The record is from RNAcentral. Lineage: Eukaryota; Metazoa; Chordata; Mammalia; Primates; Hominidae.
GAAGUGUGGACAUGAGUGCGCUUUGAGCGCACUGUGGAAGAGCAGUGGUUUUCCAGCAAGGUCCUAGGUGCCUCUGUGGCCUUUUGUACAGUGGGCAAGUUGGGCAGGACUCAUCUUAAAAAUCAUGUGUGGGAACAUUCUCCCUGGCCAGUGAGGAAGUCUUGAAGAAUAGAGCCAUAAAGAAAGCAAAGCGCAGAAAUGUUGGAUUCGAAGUCAUGGGAGAUAGAAAAAAAUAGGAAACAUAAGGUCUGGACCUUAAAGAGAGCUUAUCCAGUUGAGGAAAUAAGAUAAAUAUAGACAAAUUCAAGUUGAGUGACAAUAUGAGAAGAAAAACGAGCAAAGCAAUACAGAGGUGGGCUAAGUGGCAUCAGAUUGGAGGAAGAAAGGAAAACACAAGGAUCUUCUGAGAGUCUUGUCUGCUCCCUGGGAUCGAGGCCUGGUCUGACAGUGGAGGAGCCUUUAAAGGUUUUAAAGGUUUGGUGGUACCUUCUGGAGGAGGACGGUUUCCUGGAUUUGGUAGUGGCGCUGGAGGGAAGCCUUUGGAAGGACUGUCGAAUGGAAACAACAUAACCAGUGCCCCUCCCUUCACCAGUGCAAAGGCAGCGGCAGAGCCCAAGGUAGCCUUUGGUUCUCUUCCUGCAAAUGGCCCUACCGCCUUGGUUGAUAAAGUUUCAAAUCCCAAAACUAAUGGGGACAGUCAGCAGCCCUCCUCCUCUGGCCUUGCUUCCAGUAAAGCUUGUGUCGGAAGUGCCUAUCACAAGCAGUUGGCCGCCUUGAACUGCUCCGUGCGGGAUUGGAUAGUGAAGCACGUGAAUACAAA